RNAcentral lists this ribosomal RNA (478 nucleotides) under uncultured bacterium. RNAcentral's name for it is "partial 16S ribosomal RNA". It matches the Rfam family "Bacterial small subunit ribosomal RNA", at positions 28 to 523 of the family's 1533-position model. The record is from RNAcentral.
GACGAACGCUGGCGGCGUGCUUAACACAUGCAAGUCGAACGGUAAGGCCCUUCGGGGUACACGAGUGGCGAACGGGUGAGUAACACGUGGGUGAUCUGCCCUGCACUUCGGGAUAAGCCUGGGAAACUGGGUCCAAUACCGGAUAGGACAACUGCCUGCAAGGGUUGUGGUGGAAAGCUUUUGAUGUGUGGGAUGGGCCCGCGGCCUAUGAGCUUGUUGGUGGGGUGAGGGCCUACCAAGGCGACGCCGGGUAGCCGGCGUGGGAGGGUGACCGGCCACACUGGGACUGAGAUACGGCCCAGACUCCUACGGGAGGCAGCAGUGGGGAAUAUUGCACAAUGGGCGCAAGCCUGCUGAAGCGACGCCGCGUGAGGGAUGACGGCCUUCGGGUUGUAAACCUCUUUCAGCACCGACGAAGCGCAAGUGACGGUAGGUGAAGAAGAAGGACCGGCCAACUACGUGCCAGCCGCCGCCGUAA